This 4199-nucleotide long non-coding RNA is filed under the name Brassica napus (rape). RNAcentral's name for it is "long non-coding RNA (BNAP_LNC005678)". Lineage: Eukaryota; Viridiplantae; Streptophyta; Magnoliopsida; Brassicales; Brassicaceae. The record is from RNAcentral.
AACUUGAUGGUCUUGAAGAAGCCAGCAAGUUCUUGGACACCAUUCCCUUGAAGAAGAGGGACUUUUACGUGCACAACGCUCUCUUGAACUCUUGCAAAACCCACGGCUCCCUGAGCAUUGCCGAGACCACGUUUCAGAAGAUGAUAGACCUCGGCUUGGCUUCCAACAACCCUAAACCCUACAACACCAUGCUCUCUCUCUACCACAGUGCUGGAGAUCACGACAUGGUUGUCAAGCUCCUGCUCGAGAUGGACGACCAAAGAUUAGAACCCCAAGGAGUUCCCUUUGGCAAGCUCUUUUCCUGUUUCGCUCUUGCAUCAUGCGUCAAAGACUCUGUGGGAAUGGAGAAGUUUCUCAACAAGUGGAGGGACCGGAUGGAGCCAUGGGCCACAUGCUUCUUCCCUGCAUGCCUCUAUAUGGAACUUGGAUCUCUUGAUAAGAGUUUGUCUUUGUUUCGUAAGACUGAGGAGUUACUCGAUGAUGACUGCAGAAAAAACAUGUAUGGAGCUCUCAUGAGAGUCUAUUGUCAUAAAGGCGAAAGAGAGGACGUUUACCGUCUCUCCAACUUGGCUAAACUCCACGGGAUAUCCUUCGACGCCACUGUAACUUCUGAGAUGAUCAAGUUCUUUGCCUUGAAGCACGAUUUUGAUGGGGCUCACGAGAUCAUGGAAGAGUGGGAUACAGGGGCUGGAGAUCUUGGUCUUUCAGAUUUUGGUCACCGGAAAAGAUGCAUGAAAGAGGAGGCUGAUAAAGCUAUCAACAUGCUUGGGAAGAAGUGGGAGAGCAAGUGGGAGAGUUUGACUGACAUGUUACAGCAAAACUUGGCGGAGGGUGAGGACGAGGAUGGUGAAAGGGAGAGGAGGAAGAGAGUGACGGAGGCCUUGGAGGGGAGGCUGCACGAACGCUGGAACCCAAAGACCACUAUGACUCUCUCCGCUUACGCCUGCGUGCAGUAUGUCGAGGGUCGAAGGGACAUGGAAAGUGCAGCUGAGAUUCUCAAACUGCUUAACAAACAAGAGCUAGUGUCACGUGCAAUGGACAAAGACAGAUUGUGUUUGAAGAUGGUGGAGGCUAUGAGAGGUGGAGGAUACGUUGGUGGACAAGACUAGCAUAAAUAUUAAUCCAAAAAACAAUAUUUGUAACUCAUAUAAUUGAUUUAACAUUAUUAAUCUAGUAGACCUCAACCAACAGAAAGAAAAAAAGAAGGCUUUAUAAUAUUUAAAUCCAAAUGGUGUUCAAGCAAGACUCUUCUGGCUACAAUCUUACUUCAGUGUUGUACCGACUUUCUUCCACAUGAACAGAAGAGCUUAUAAUAAUAGUUGAUUAACCGUACAAUAUGAACAACGCAAGCCUACAAGGUUGUCAUACCAACGUAUGUGCCCUCACUCGCUUACCAUACGUUUUGGUAUGAGAACCUUGUAGGCUUGCAGGCGCAUGUAUAUGAUCUUGGUGUUAUGUACUCUUAAACUCUUUAUAAUUAUAUUAUUCUCUUUGUUCUUCCUCCAUUUUAUUAUCGAGUAGAAAAAAAGGGGUAAUGAAAUCCAACCAUAAGCUUAUUCUCCAAAUGAAAAGAUCAUCAUUACUCGAAAAGGUUCAUCUACUAAGUUCUGUGCAAAUGCUCACGACCAUCAUUACAAAGAAACAGAGAGGUCAAGAUCAAUCUUACAUAAACCAACAGUUCUCUUUCUCCCAGCUGAGGUUCAGCCCUUGUUUUCCUGUAAAGAGAACAUGAGCUAAAAGAUAUUGGAACAAACAUAACAAGAACAAAAUCACCUCAGACAAAAGUAGUCGAAUGGCAGUGAGAAAUAAUACGAAAAGCUUAGACCUGGGGAGUGUUGUUGUUCAUGGAGAGAAGAAGCCUCUCAACGUAUUUGCCCAUGAUGUCAACCUCGAGGUUCACUUUCUGCCCAACUUUCUUGGUGGGAAUCACGACAUUGAGCUGCGUGUAAGCAACGAGCAUGAAGUUAAAGCAGCUGUCCUCGUCAGACACGUCCACCACCGUCAGGCUCGUCCCGUCGACGGCGACAAAGCCCUUGGGGACAAUGUAUUUGAGCAAAGCCUUGUCCGCUCUCACCUUCACCCACAGCGAAUCUCCCUCGGCUUCCAUCGAAACUAUCACUCCCGUACCGUCCACGUGUCCCUGCACCACGUGUCCGCCCAUGCGGCUCACCGGCUGCAGCGCACGCUCCAGAUUCACCAGAGACCCUCUCUCCAGCUCCUCCAGCGACGUCUUUCGCAGCGUCUCCGGUGCUAGCCCCACUGUGAACUCCUCGGUGUCGAAAUCGGUUACUGUAAGGCAAGUCCCGUUGACGGCGAUGCUGUCGCCAAGCUUCACGUCCUCCAGCACCACUCUCGCCCCGAUUUUAAGGUCGAAUCCGCCGUGGUCAGCCAAUCCCAGAUCCUUUACGUGGCCCAUUUCUUCCACGAUUCCCGUGAACACGGAUCGGAUGCCCAGAUUUUGCCUCCGACAUGAUGUCAGCUUUGUUGAGUCAAAUCUGAGGAGAUUUGGUCUGAGUGAAGCCAAGGUUGGACGAAAUGAUUUGGGAAGCAGAUUCAACGAGUGAGUCCCCAUCAUCGUUCGUGCCGUGAAUUAUUAUCCCAACCACGGCGGCGCUAAGUCCUCGUCUCUCUAGAUCGUGCGUUCUUAAUUACAAUCUCAAAAAUCAAUAGGAUACACAAAAGAACCCUGCCCAAUAACCCAAACCGACCCGACCCAAAAAUAAUACUAGUAAUUUGAAUCUCACAAACACAUCUGUUCAUGGAUUUUGUUUUACUGUAAUUAAGAUUUCAGGUUUCACACAACAGAACCCGAAUAUGUUACCGACACGUGAAAAAAUCCAACAAAAUAAAUUUAGAUAAUUGUUUUCAAAUACUUUAGAUACUUUUAAUAGAUUUAUAUGUUAUUUAAUAUUGUCUAGAUAAUAGAUAACAAUUUCAUAUAUCAAAAAAGCCAAAAACAAUCUAACCCGACAGAAAAUGUGAUAUGACAGUUACGAUUACAAAAAAAAUCAAUGAUGAAAUCCAAAUCGAAUAUUUGUUGGAUGAUAACCAUACAUUGAUAUCAAACUGAUCUUGUUUCACGCUUAUUAACAAUUGAAAUGCUUUCUCGCAUCACAACAUGCCGCAGGCAGCACAAGAGAAAAAAUUUCUAGAUAAAGAUAUUUUUUUUUUGGUUAAAACUGUUUCGAAAGAGAUUCCUUCCUUCCGAAAAGUUCUCUUGAACCCGUCGAAGAAUCUGCGAUAACCAUUACACCUAUAAAACGGAACAAAACGAGAAUAUCUCCGAUUACAAAAACCGGCGGAAAAUGAAAAUAUCCCCAGAAACUUAGCCAAAAUAAAAUCAUAAUAUUGAAUAACAAAGAAGAAAAUACUAUUAGAAAAGAAAUUCCGGUGCCGGUGCUAGAAAGCCACCGGUGCAAGGUCACAAAUUCUUUUUUUCCUCUGACUGCUGACCUUAAAUUAUAUAUAUGGUUAUGUUACAGAGAAAUUCUAUAUGAUAGACCUAAAAAUUUUUUGUCGCAAAUAUAUACCUUAAAAAUAAAAAUGACUAAAAUAGACUUAAAUGUUUUAUCAAAAGAAAUAAAUAUACGUUUAUACCCCUAGGGUUAAUUAAUCUAGACAUUAGAGUUUAGAGUUAAGGGGUGAGGUUUAAGGUUUAGGGUUUAAGGUUUAGGAUUUAAGGUUUAGAGUUGAGGAGGGGGUUUUGGAGAUAGAAUUUCAAAUUUUUUUAAAAAAAAAUAAAAUAAAAUUUUCAAAAUAAAAAAUGCUAUUUUGAUCAUUUUAGUUUUUGAGAUAUAUUUUUGUGACAAAAACUUUAAAAAAUCUAUCUGAGAGAAUUACCCUAUGUUAUAUAUAUAUACUAGGGGUUGGUCCGCCCUACGGGCGGGUGAGUUUACACUAAAAUUAUUUUAUAUUAAAAUAUAUUUUAAUUUUAUAAAAUAUUUAGAAAUUUACUUUAUAUUGAAGAGGGACUUUUACGUGCACAACGCUCUCUUGAACUCUUGCAAAACCCACGGCUCCCUGAGCAUUGCCGAGACCACGUUUCAGAAGAUGAUAGACCUCGGCUUGGCUUCCAACAACCCUAAACCCUACAACACCAUGCUCUCUCUCUACCACAGUGCUGGAGAUCACGACAUGGUUGUCAAGCUCCUGCUCGAGAUGGACGACCAAAGAUUAGAACCCCAAGGAGUUCCCUUUGG